CCUACGGGAGGCAGCAGUGGGGAAUAUUGGACAAUGGGGGGAACUCUGAUCCAGCGACGCCGCGUGAGUGAAGAAGUAUUUCGGUAUGUAAAGCUCUAUCAGCAGGGAAGAAAGAAAUGACGGUACCUGACUAAGAAGCCCCGGCUAACUACGUGCCAGCAGCCGCGGUAAGACGUAGGGGGCAAGCGUUAUUCGGAUUUACUGGGUGUAAAGGGAGCGUAGACGGGGGAGCAAGUCAGAAGUGAAAGGCGGGGGCCCAACCCCAGGAAUGCUUUGGAAACUGGAUUGCUGGAGUGUAGGAGAGGUAAGUGGAAUUCCUAGUGUAGCGGUAGAAUGCGUAGAGAUUAGGAGGAACACCAGUGGCGAAGGCGGCUUACUGGACUAUAACUGACGUUGAGGCUCGAAAGCGUGGGGAGCAAACAGGAUUAGAUACCCUAGUAGUC
Molecule: ribosomal RNA, 443 nt
Filed under: uncultured bacterium
Lineage: Bacteria
Description: partial 16S ribosomal RNA
Rfam family: Bacterial small subunit ribosomal RNA
Source: RNAcentral